GAGAAACAAGUUACAUCAAUCCAUGGAACUCCACCUACCAAUGAAGCAAGCAAUCAAUACCAAGCAGUAACUCCAGAUGCUUCCAGCUAAUUCAUCUACACACAAUUAGUGCUGAUAAAUUAAUUAAUCACUCCACCCAUCACUGUAGAGGCUUCAGCUAAGAUUCUAUUACUGAAAUAGGACACAGUAAGAGCAAUCCUACAUGCUUUCAUGUGGGCGGAAAGGAGCCUUUGCUUCAAAUUAUAGUCACUGCUUUGGUGUAAAUCGAAAGCUUCUAGAAAACACCUUCAACGGUGUAUGGAUGCCAUAGGAACUGAUGGAAAGAAAAUAAAAUUUCACAAGGGAACUUGUCAGCCCAGAUAUAAAAUCUUCUGAUAUUUCAUUUCUUUCAUGUCCAAGAGAUGAUAAAGUAGCGAGGGCAAAGUUAUAAGGACCUUCCCAAGAUUACAUCUAAACUGAAUAUGGGGAGUGGGUAAAAUAUGAAAGAAACAAUUGCAGAACACGGGAAUUUUAAUCACUCUUUAGUCGCAUGCAAUCAUACUAACAAAUACAAAAUCCGCACCGGCUUACAUAUUGAAUAAAUAACUUCUGAUUGUUUACAGAGUUUAAUAUUUUGAUGAACAUGCAUACUAUAGGUGUCGAACAGCAGCUUGUAGAUGAAUCACCAUAUAUCUGCUCCUUUUGUUGCCCCCUAGAAGAAUAGCAAUUGCAGCAAGAAUGGCCUGUUCAAGACAAGUCAAAGCUUAAUUUAAUAAUAUAUAUA
Molecule: long non-coding RNA, 763 nt
Filed under: Phoenix dactylifera (date palm)
Lineage: Eukaryota; Viridiplantae; Streptophyta; Magnoliopsida; Arecales; Arecaceae
Description: long non-coding RNA (PDAC_LNC015741)
Source: RNAcentral